RNAcentral lists this long non-coding RNA (3005 nucleotides) under Callithrix jacchus (white-tufted-ear marmoset). Its description in RNAcentral is "lncRNA (ENSCJAG00000074979.1)". The record is from RNAcentral. Lineage: Eukaryota; Metazoa; Chordata; Mammalia; Primates; Cebidae.
AUGACGCUGCGUCGAAGGCGUGUGGGUGGCGCCCGGCCGGAGGGGCCGAGAGGCGGGGGCGGCGCGGGGCGGGAGGAGGCAGAGGGCAGGGCAACACCCCUCCGCCCCCUCCCCCGCGCCUCUAUUCUCCCCCUCCCGACACCCCCUACCUUCCUCUCCUCCCUCCCCGCCCCCACAACUGGGCUGGUCCUCCUCCAUCCACUCCUCCCCCCAUUCACUCCUCCCCUCAAGCCCUCUCACCUCCCCUUCCCUCCCCCAUCCACUCCUCCCCACAUCCCCUCACCUCCCUGUCCCUCCCCGUGCCCCAAUCCCCGCAAACCUGGGCUGCUCCUGCCCCUUCCACGCCUUCCUGCUCCCUCCCUCCCUGUCCCCUUCCCCUCCUCCCCACCCCCAUCUCCCCUUUACCCUCUUUCUUCCCAAACCCCUCUUCCUUCCUCUCCUUCCCCACAGGCCACUUCUCCUUUCCCCCUCCUGGCCCCCUGUCUCCUCCUCCCAUCCCCCACCCCGGCUUUAGUCUCCCAUCCCCCCUACACCCCCUUGCCUCUGCCUCCUCACAGCCCCCUACUUAUCCUAUUGCCUCCCUCCUGGGGCCCCUUCAGAUCCCUAGGGCCUCUUUGUCUCUCUCUGUUUUCUCCCAUUCCAGCCCCUGAUGACCAGGCCCCGCACCUCUGCUGGGGUCUGCCGCACACAGUAAGCUGCCUGGGAGUCCUCAUUGCCUUCCUGGGCAACCCAGCUAAAGGCCGCCCAGCAGCUGCAGCCCUGGAGGUCAGCGCAGCCCUGGCUGACGUCAGGGGCCCCUCCUCACCGCCCACCUCUGCACCUUCCCCAUCCCUUUGCCUGGUGUCCGGGAAAGGCCCCGUAGGAUGGCAUUCCUUUCCCAGGGUCUCCCUCAGGAAAGAUGAGAGGAAGCAAAAGCUCAGUCUGCACACAGGGCUGGUCCUCCCGACGGCCACAUCCGCAGGGAUGACCCUCAGAGGUGCUCCCAACUGGCUGGGAGGUUCCUCCACCUGGGCGCUCUGCUACCCAGCCGGGUCAAGGACAAACAGCCAUGUACAAAAUGGCAAGAGGCGGACCUUCCAGAGCAUGUAUAUGUGCAUAUUCACUCCUUCAAACCUCACAACUCCAUCAGCCAGGCACUUUUAUUAUCCCCAUAUUACAGAUGACAAAUCUGAGACCAAAGAUGAAUCAGCUUGGCAGUGUUCACAGAGCCAGCCUGUGGAAAAGCCAGAAUCCAGAAUCCAGUCCCAGGCCCUGCCUGCAGCAUCCCGGCUCUUACUGACACCUAAACGGCCACUGCCUCUUGGCUUAGUGCUCUUCCUUCUAAAAACGAGUCUCACUCUGUCACCUAGGCUGGAGUGCAGUGGCAUGAUCAUAGCUCACUGUAGCCUCAAACUCCUGGACUGAAGUGAUCCUUUUGCCUCAGCUUCCGAAAGUGCUGGGAUUUCAGUGACUCCACACCCACGGAAGGAGAGGGGGAUGAAGAAACCUGCCAGGAAGGUGCCUCCCGCCAGUAUCUGAUGAAGGUAAGAGGUAAGAGGCUGCCCGUUUACUGCUUGUGCCUUCCAGGGAAGUUUCUUCCCCAGGGUUACCACCCGUUUCAGGAGGCGUCUCUGGGCUAGGCUUCCUGGCAGCAGAGGCUCUCUGGCAUUGGGGCUGCUGAGGGUAUGUAGUGAAGGCCCUUGGCUUGGAAAUCUUCACCUUAGACUCAUUAAGAAUUUUUUCCAAGGAAUCCUCAUCGGGUGUGUUCCAAUGGCUCCCACCAGAUCCCAAUCAGGCCCAAACUUUUUUGCCAGUCCUCUCAAUCCAGACCCACUGAGCUCCAGUUACAUAGAACCACCUGCGAUUUCCUUGAACAUGUUAUGCAUUUUCAUGCUUCUGUGACUACUUUGCAUAUGCUGGUUCCUUUGCCUGGAGUGCCUCCUGUCACUUCUCUUCUUAAAGAACUCCUAUUCAUCCUUCAAGACCCUACUCAAAAGUCAGGUUCUUUUUCAAAGCCUCGCUUGACUUCCCAGACAGGGUUGGAUGCUCUGUGCUCCAGGUACAGGGUUCCUUCCCUGGCUCCUCUCGGAUUAGGGUAAUUAUUAGCAUUUGCAUGUUUAUCUUCCUUCUAGUUCCUCCAGAGCAGGGCCUGUCACUCACCUUGCAAAUGUGUACAGCACAGUGCCAGGCCCUAGUCAUUCCUCAGCCAAUAUUUGUGGAAGGAUAAACGCAAUUUCUUCUGGAUUUGUUGUAUUUUUGAGUAGAAUGAAGGGGAUGCUUUUGUCACUGUGGACAUUCCCGGCUACCGGUGCCAUCUCUCCAGACAAAGGUCACAUAUUUGUGGGUCUAUAUAUUCACAUAGGAUCAAUAUGCCACUUUUCAGGCCUACUGCUCCUGCUUGAAUAUACAGACUCACAAAUACGUGAGCUUUGUCUAGAUCUAUUUAUUUUACACAUUAACCUUACAGGUGGGUGUUAUUGUUACCAUCAUAAAAUAAAGAGAUUGAGAUGCCAAGAGGUUAAGUACCAUGUUCAAGGUGACAGCACUUGGAUGGCAAAGCUGGGACCUGAACCCAGGCAUUCUGGCUGAAAAAUCUUCUUUUACGUACCAGAGAUUCUCAGUAAGUGGUCUUUGAAUCAGCAGGUCAGCAUCACCUGGGAACUUGUUAGAAGUGCAAAUUCUUGGAUCCCACCCCAGACCUGCCAAAGCCAAAACUCCAAGGGUGGGGCCCGGCAAUCUGUUUUAACCAGCGCUUCUCGGGUUUGAGAACCUGGCCUGUGCCACAGCUGCUCCGGUAGCUGCCCAGAGCCAGGGGAGGGCGCUCCAAGGCCGACUUUCAUUGCUGGGAACCUGUCAGGCACUGCAGAAGGCAAGAAAAUGCGUGAACUGAGAAUUAGGAGACAGAGUUCUAGUCCCGCCAGUUCUGCAAUUAUUGGUUGAGUGAUUUGGAGCACAUUAUUUAAUGUUUAAUCUCCCUGGGCCUCAGUUUUCUCAUCUGUAAAAUGAGGAUGAUGACUAAAUGUUCC